GACGAACGCUGGCGGCGUGCUUAACACAUGCAAGUCGAACGGUAAGGCCCUUCGGGGUACACGAGUGGCGAACGGGUGAGUAACACGUGGGUGAUCUGCCCUGCACUUCGGGAUAAGCCUGGGAAACUGGGUCUAAUACCGGAUAGGACCACUGCCUGCAUGGGUGGUGGUGGAAUGCUUUUGCGGUGUGGGAUGGACCCGCGGCCUAUCAGCUUGUUGGUGGGGUGAUGGCCUACCAAGGCGACGACGGGUAGCCGGCCUGAGAGGGUGACCGGCCACACUGGGACUGAGAUACGGCCCAGACUCCUACGGGAGGCAGCAGUGGGGAAUAUUGCACAAUGGGCGCAAGCCUGAUGCAGCGACGCCGCGUGAGGGAUGACGGCCUUCGGGUUGUAAACCUCUUUCAGCACCGACGAAGCGCAAGUGACGGUAGGUGCAGAAGAAGGACCGGCCAACUACGUGCCAGCCGCCGCAGUAA
This 478-nucleotide ribosomal RNA is filed under the name uncultured bacterium. Its description in RNAcentral is "partial 16S ribosomal RNA". It matches the Rfam family "Bacterial small subunit ribosomal RNA", at positions 28 to 523 of the family's 1533-position model. The record is from RNAcentral.